AGUGAACGCUGGCGGUAGGCCUAACACAUGCAAGUCGAACGGCAGCACAGUAAGAGCUUGCUCUUACGGGUGGCGAGUGGCGGACGGGUGAGGAAUAUAUCGGAAUCUACUUUUUCGUGGGGGAUAACGUAGGGAAACUUACGCUAAUACCGCAUACGACCUACGGGUGAAAGCAGGGGAUCUUCGGACCUUGCGCGAUUGAAUGAGCCGAUGUCGGAUUAGCUAGUUGGCGGGGUAAAGGCCCACCAAGGCGACGAUCCGUAGCUGGUCUGAGAGGAUGAUCAGCCACACUGGAACUGAGACACGGUCCAGACUCCUACGGGAGGCAGCAGUGGGGAAUAUUGGACAAUGGGCGCAAGCCUGAUCCAGCCAUACCGCGUGGGUGAAGAAGGCCUUCGGGUUGUAAAGCCCUUUUGUUGGGAAAGAGAAGCAGCAGGUUAAUACCCCGCUGUUCUGACGGUACCCAAAGAAUAAGCACCGGCUAACUUCGUG
RNAcentral lists this ribosomal RNA (492 nucleotides) under uncultured bacterium. RNAcentral describes it as "partial 16S ribosomal RNA". It matches the Rfam family "Bacterial small subunit ribosomal RNA", at positions 29 to 507 of the family's 1533-position model. The record is from RNAcentral.